Molecule: ribosomal RNA, 728 nt
Filed under: Serratia sp. L5
Lineage: Bacteria; Pseudomonadati; Pseudomonadota; Gammaproteobacteria; Enterobacterales; Yersiniaceae
Description: bacterial SSU rRNA
Rfam family: Bacterial small subunit ribosomal RNA
Source: RNAcentral
UUGCUUCUUUGCCGGCGAGCGGCGGACGGGUGAGUAAUGUCUGGGAAUCUGCCCGAUGGAGGGGGAUAACCACUGGAAACGGUGGCUAAUACCGCAUAACGUCUUCGGACCAAAGUGGGGGACCUUCGGGCCUCACACCAUCGGAUGUGCCCAGAUGGGAUUAGCUAGUAGGUGGGGUAAUGGCUCACCUAGGCGACGAUCCCUAGCUGGUCUGAGAGGAUGACCAGCCACACUGGAACUGAGACACGGUCCAGACUCCUACGGGAGGCAGCAGUGGGGAAUAUUGCACAAUGGGCGCAAGCCUGAUGCAGCCAUGCCGCGUGUGUGAAGAAGGCCUUCGGGUUGUAAAGCACUUUCAGCGAGGAGGAAGGGUAGUGUCUUAAUACGGCAUUACAUUGACGUUACUCGCAGAAGAAGCACCGGCUAACUCCGUGCCAGCAGCCGCGGUAAUACGGAGGGUGCAAGCGUUAAUCGGAAUUACUGGGCGUAAAGCGCACGCAGGCGGUUUGUUAAGUCAGAUGUGAAAUCCCCGAGCUUAACUUGGGAACUGCAUUUGAAACUGGCAGACUAGAGUCUCGUAGAGGGGGGUAGAAUUCCAGGUGUAGCGGUGAAAUGCGUAGAGAUCUGGAGGAAUACCGGUGGCGAAGGCGGCCCCCUGGACGAAGACUGACGCUCAGGUGCGAAAGCGUGGGGAGCAAACAGGAUUAGAUACCGUGGGUAAUUCAAAG